Molecule: ribosomal RNA, 242 nt
Filed under: uncultured bacterium
Lineage: Bacteria
Description: partial 16S ribosomal RNA
Rfam family: Bacterial small subunit ribosomal RNA
Source: RNAcentral
UAGUCCACGCCGUAAACGAUGAGCACUAGGUGUCGGGGUCGCAAGACUUCGGUGCCGCAGUUAACGCAUUAAGUGCUCCGCCUGGGGAGUACGCACGCAAGUGUGAAACUCAAAGGAAUUGACGGGGACCCGCACAAGCAGCGGAGCAUGUGGUUUAAUUCGAAGCAACGCGAAGAACCUUACCAGGACUUGACAUCCCUCUGACAGCUCCUUAAUCGGAGCCUUCUUCGGACAGAGGAGAC